RNAcentral lists this long non-coding RNA (202 nucleotides) under Elaeis guineensis (African oil palm). RNAcentral's name for it is "long non-coding RNA (EGUI_LNC005005)". Lineage: Eukaryota; Viridiplantae; Streptophyta; Magnoliopsida; Arecales; Arecaceae. The record is from RNAcentral.
CCACCCAUCCUUCGCAGCGAUCUCCUUCUCCUUCCUAUGUAUAUAGUAUCAAGAAGGAGAAAAAGCUGUGUGAACCUUCUUCUUCUCCAUCCUCAAAUUCUUCAGAAGACUCUACUCCUGGAUUAUCUCAGCAACAGCAACUCGAUGACUACGAGCACAAAUUCAAGGAGAUCGACCGUCAAUUUGUCUGACUUCAGGUAGA